RNAcentral lists this ribosomal RNA (335 nucleotides) under uncultured Thauera sp. RNAcentral's name for it is "bacterial SSU rRNA". It matches the Rfam family "Bacterial small subunit ribosomal RNA", at positions 1044 to 1382 of the family's 1533-position model. Lineage: Bacteria; Pseudomonadati; Pseudomonadota; Betaproteobacteria; Rhodocyclales; Zoogloeaceae. The record is from RNAcentral.
CAUGGCUGUUGUCAGCUCGUGUCGUGAGAUGUUGGUUAAGUCCCGCAACGAGCGCAACCUUUGUCACUAGUUGCCACCAUUGAGUUGGGCACUCUAGUGAGACUGCCGGUGACAAACCGGAGGAAGGUGGGAUGACGUCAAGUCCUCAUGGCCCUUAUGGGUAGGGCUUCACACGUCAUACAAUGGUCGGUACAGAGGGUUGCCAAACCGCGAGGUGGAGCCAAUCCCUUAAAGCCGAUCGUAGUCCGGAUCGUAGUCUGCAACUCGACUACGUGAAGUCGGAAUCGCUAGUAAUCGCAGAUCAGCAUGCUGCGGUGAAUACGUUCCCGGGUCUU